Molecule: ribosomal RNA, 401 nt
Filed under: uncultured bacterium
Lineage: Bacteria
Description: bacterial SSU rRNA
Rfam family: Bacterial small subunit ribosomal RNA
Source: RNAcentral
UGGGGAAUAUUGCACAAUGGGCGAAAGCCUGAUGCAGCAACGCCGCGUGAGUGAUGAAGGCCUUCGGGUUGUAAAGCUCUGUCUUUUGGGACGAUAAUGACGGUACCAAAGGAGGAAGCCACGGCUAACUACGUGCCAGCAGCCGCGGUAAUACGUAGGUGGCAAGCGUUGUCCGGAAUUACUGGGCGUAAAGAAUGCGUAGGUGGAUAUGCAAGUCAGAUGUGAAAUACCCGGGCUCAACUUGGGUGCUGCAUUUGAAACUAUAUAUCUAGAGUGCAGGAGAGGAAAGCGGAAUUCCUAGUGUAGCGGUGAAAUGCGUAGAGAUUAGGAAGAAUACCAGUGGCGAAGGCGGCUUUCUGGACUGUAACUGACACUGAGGCAUGAAAGCGUGGGGAGCAAAC